This 497-nucleotide ribosomal RNA is filed under the name uncultured bacterium. RNAcentral's name for it is "partial 16S ribosomal RNA". It matches the Rfam family "Bacterial small subunit ribosomal RNA", at positions 36 to 507 of the family's 1533-position model. The record is from RNAcentral.
GCUGCCCUCUUUCUUCUUUCCUAAUACAUGCAAGUCGAGCGAACAGAUAAGGAGCUUGCCCCUUUGACGUUAGCGGCGGACGGGUGAGUAACACGUGGGUAACCUACCUAUAAGACUGGAAUAACUCCGGGAAACCGGGGCUAAUGCCGGAUAACAUUUAGAACCGCAUGGUUCUAAAGUGUAAGAUGGUUUUGCUAUCACUUAUAGAUGGACCCGCGCCGUAUUAGCUAGUUGGUAAGGUAACGGCUUACCAAGGCAACGAUACGUAGCCGACCUGAGAGGGUGAUCGGCCACACUGGAACUGAGACACGGUCCAGACUCCUACGGGAGGCAGCAGUAGGGAAUCUUCCGCAAUGGGCGAAAGCCUGACGGAGCAACGCCGCGUGAGUGAUGAAGGUCUUCGGAUCGUAAAACUCUGUUAUUAGGGAAGAACAAAUGUGUAAGUAACUGUGCACGUCUUGACGGUACCUAAUCAGAAAGCCACGGCUAACUACGUG